AAUAAAAGCUUUAUUAAAUUUAAUUUUUUUUAUAUUGCCCUGGUUGCACGGCAUCAUCGUGCAACCCUAGAAACAGGAAGGUUUUAACGACUUUUUCUUCCUGUUCUUAGGUAAAACUAAUAACUACACAGAAGAAUAGCUUCAUCUUCAGAAUGUAAGUAGAAAUUUAGUCUAUUUAGUUUAAAUUAGCUUGUUAAUAAAAGUUAGUAUAUAUAAUUUAGAAAUAGUGAAGAUAUAAGGUUUAUACCUCAUUGACUAUUUUUUACUCUCCCGAUAUUAUUUAGUCAUUUCUUAUGGAAGCAUUUCUUAUUCGCAUAUUUAGAAAUAAUUAUUUUUUUGUGAGAAAAUAAUUUACAAAGAGGUGGCAAGCCACCAGAAUGAUGAACUCAACCUGUUAAGUCUUUGGAAAUAAGCUAGAGGUUGUACUCCCCUAGAGAAAAUGCCUCUAAAAGCACAAUUCUCCCUUUUUACAAGGAUUUAAUUAAUAAAAUAUAAAAAAAAUAAAAAGGACACAACACAUUUGAAAAGAUGAACAGAACUUUAACCAAGGGCAGGUAGGUUUCGACCCAUAUUUCUGAACCUAAGUACCCUGGAUGUCUAGCUGCGUCACCUCGAAGAGGUCCGCGGACGGUCAUCAGCAGAAACUAGACAUCCCUAUCUUCCUAAAGUAAACUUUGGCCACUUUCUGUUCAACUGUGCUAUUAAAAGAGUACAAACACCUUAAAAGUAGUCAGAGGGACUAAAGUGAAAGGUAAUUCAUUCCAAAUAUAUUAUCGAUAGUUGCGGACUUUGAAAACCAGUUCUUGUCUCUUUGUUACCAUUGCCAUGUGCUAAUACAACAUUCCUUGUAUAUAUGAAGAACAAGAGACGGAAGAUUUGUUACCGGAAAAAGUCAAGCAUUUUUACAAAGACAACCAGUUGGGCGUACGUGUCCGAUCUAACAUAUAUAUAAGAUAGGAAUCUGACGCGAAGUUCAUUUAUAUACGAACCAUAACUGAGUAAAGGAUAGUGCUGUUUUUGCCGAUAUAAAACAAGACCUAUUAACAGACGCUGGGAAAUAUUGAAAUCAGACUGAUGUUGUGAAUAGCGUUGUUUGGAAAUCACUGCUAUACACGCUUUUUUUAUAAGAAUACACUCUAUAAGAAUAUGGAGCCUGAGGAAUGGGUUAAGAAUAUCCUAAGAACAUACCCAGGCUCGAUCUUUCGUUUUAGAUAUAAAAAUUUUUGUGAUGCACAAAUUUUCAUUAGAAGUUUAAUUUCUUAUACUGUAUGUUUAUUUUCUUGUCAGCUCACCUGUCUUUUACACUUUGUUUAAUUAGGCACAUUAAGGUAAUUUCAUGCUUUCCGGCUGUAGCCAUGUUAAGAAUAUUUUAAAGAAUAUUCGAGGCUUAGAUUUGUCAAAAAGUUAAAAAUACUGAGGCUGAAACGGAAAAACACUAUUCUUAUAAAAAAAAAGCGUGUAAAUUUGUAAUUUUUCGUUUCCGAUUUCAGAUCAAGAAAUUUUUAAACAAAACUUGUAAACACUUAUUGGUAGUUGAUAUCAUGAAACAGUUAAUAAUACUACUAAUAAAAAUAACCAGUCGAAAAGCUUGUGUUUUUUCAGGAGUUUCGAUGACGUGAGCAAUAUAUACUUAAAAAACAUUUUAGGAAAGUUGUUUUCCCGUUCCCACUAAUAUAGGAAGCUUACUGCGCUGGUUAAAAAAUGUAGUGCUUUUGACGACCUACUCAGGGGAUGUAGGGGUUUAAAAAAUCUGCUAACGUCAGCGAGGACCUGCCGAAAUUGUAUACUGUAUAGAGCCUUAAAUCAAUGAUCAAGGAAAUGUAUAUGAUCAUUUCGACGAACUGUUAAAGACGAUAUAUUAGGGUUUUAAGGUAUUUUAAAGACUUCACUAUCGGUCAGUUCGAAUGGGUUGACCCAGGAGAUUAAUUUCAUUUUGGUCCUACGGGGUCCAUUACUAAUCGCACAGGAGGUGACGUUAUUUAUGUGUAUUAAUUUCCAACUUAUUUGGCCUUGCACUAAGAAGGGCAAUGCAAUAGUUUCACCAACUUUAAUAAUAUCACUGACGUCAAUCUUCGUAAUUACGUAAUGAUUAGAGUCGAUCUUCAAACUUGCGUAAUCUCCUGGAGUAAAAAGAGUUUUAGAAAGGCAAAUAUUGUUCAGUAUUCUGAAUCACAGAUAAACUUUUCGUAUUCAUAACAGUACAAUCGACCAGAAUGAAAGAAGCUCUUAAAAUCCGAAUAUACACAUACACCACGAAUUUAAUCAUAACACACCUUGUAUUAGGGGUCUAACGAUUUUUUAAACUGUUUUAACAUUCACAGCUUAAUACCCAAUUAAAUAUUUUCUUGCCUAAGAUAUAUGAAAAAAUACGAAUUGAUAUGACAUUGGCUAAAACGUACGUGAACAAGUUGUUAAUCGAAACGUAAAACCGUAUUGGUUUGUAUCCGAGUAAGAUUUCGCUACGACCUAUACAACUAGGAAUUUGCAAUGUUCCAGAAAUCCGUCAACCUUAAUGUGCAUAGAAAUCCUCUUGGGUUUGUCCAAAUUUGUAUGGUUUAUUAAGUGUUUAGCUGGCCACUCUCAGAAUUAUCCAACGACGUUCGGACGUCAUGGACCACGCCAGCCGAGCGUAUUGGUCACAUGAAAGAUCGCGAACUUAAGGAAUAAUUGCCGUGACUUCGAUUAAUUAAUGAGAAUAAUUGAAAUAAAAAUGACUCAAUUGCAAUGCUGAAUAUCCGCCUUAUUUUACCCGGAUGUGCUUUUUUCAUACAGGCUGUUUUCAUACACUUCUGCAUUCACUCUAUCCAAUAAGAAAUAGGAUCGAAAACUCCCGCCAUAGAAGUAAUACUAUUUAAUCUGUUCUACGUUUAGUUCUAUUUUAGAUUUUAGAGCAAUAUGACAAGCAUUCAUGUAUGUAUCUGGUUUCUGUCACUAUUACGUUUCAUUUUAAAUGCUUCUACUCACGCACGUCAUACUUUCAAAGUCUUUCUUCGUAAUUAAUUUGUAUUCUUUUUAUUUAGAGCAAAAAAAUAAUUUGCCGAACAGGCACAAAGAAAAUCUAAUGACAUAACCUCUUUAAAAAAUGAACUGGAUUUUGUAAGAAGCACCCUUGUAAGAUUUACAGAAAAGUCAACCUCGUUAAAAAAUCAAUUGAAGAAGAUAUUAACUUGGCAAGUUUUUAAGAAGAACGUGGACGAAAACAGGUCUGUUGGCGCUUACGUGUGUGAAGAGAAUUUUCACCUGUGGCGUGCUUUCAGGGGGAAAAGACUUUUUCACCCGGGAGGAUGCCGCACGUGAAAAACGCAGGCGCAAGCGGUAACAGACCUGUUUUCGUCAUUUGCAUAUAUGUUGUAAGCCUCCCUGGUUGUAUAUAUG
Molecule: long non-coding RNA, 3375 nt
Organism: Hydractinia symbiolongicarpus
Lineage: Eukaryota; Metazoa; Cnidaria; Hydrozoa; Anthoathecata; Hydractiniidae
Exons: 3
Source: RefSeq, a predicted model, not a curated record